RNAcentral lists this ribosomal RNA (1449 nucleotides) under uncultured organism. Its description in RNAcentral is "SSU rRNA". It matches the Rfam family "Bacterial small subunit ribosomal RNA". The record is from RNAcentral.
GAACGCUAGCGACAGGCUUAACACAUGCAAGUCGAGGGGCAGCGGGGGUAGCGAUACCCGCCGGCGACCGGCGCACGGGUGAGUAACGCGUAUGCAACUUGCCUAUCAGAGGGGGAUAACCCGGCGAAAGUCGGACUAAUACCGCAUGAAGCAGGGAUCCCGCAUGGGAAUAUUUGCUAAAGAUUCAUCGCUGAUAGAUAGGCAUGCGUUCCAUUAGGCAGUUGGCGGGGUAACGGCCCACCAAACCGACGAUGGAUAGGGGUUCUGAGAGGAAGGUCCCCCACAUUGGUACUGAGACACGGACCAAACUCCUACGGGAGGCAGCAGUGAGGAAUAUUGGUCAAUGGGCGCGAGCCUGAACCAGCCAAGUCGCGUGAGGGAUGAAGGUUCUAUGGAUCGUAAACCUCUUUUAUAAGGGAAUAAAGUGCGGGACGUGUCCCGUUUUGUAUGUACCUUAUGAAUAAGGAUCGGCUAACUCCGUGCCAGCAGCCGCGGUAAUACGGAGGAUCCGAGCGUUAUCCGGAUUUAUUGGGUUUAAAGGGUGCGUAGGCGGCCUUUUAAGUCAGCGGUGAAAGUCUGUGGCUCAACCAUAGAAUUGCCGUUGAAACUGGGAGGCUUGAGUAUGUUUGAGGCAGGCGGAAUGCGUGGUGUAGCGGUGAAAUGCUUAGAUAUCACGCAGAACCCCGAUUGCGAAGGCAGCCUGCCAAGCCAUGACUGACGCUGAUGCACGAAAGCGUGGGGAUCAAACAGGAUUAGAUACCCUGGUAGUCCACGCAGUAAACGAUGAUCACUAGCUGUUUGCGAUACAUUGUAAGCGGCACGGCGAAAGCGUUAAGUGAUCCACCUGGGGAGUACGCCGGCAACGGUGAAACUCAAAGGAAUUGACGGGGGCCCGCACAAGCGGAGGAACAUGUGGUUUAAUUCGAUGAUACGCGAGGAACCUUACCCGGGUUUGAACGCAUUCGGACCGAGGUGGAAACACCUUUUCUAGCAAUAGCCGUUUGCGAGGUGCUGCAUGGUUGUCGUCAGCUCGUGCCGUGAGGUGUCGGCUUAAGUGCCAUAACGAGCGCAACCCUUGCCACUAGUUACUAACAGGUAAAGCUGAGGACUCUGGUGGGACUGCCAGCGUAAGCUGCGAGGAAGGCGGGGAUGACGUCAAAUCAGCACGGCCCUUACAUCCGGGGCGACACACGUGUUACAAUGGCGUGGACAAAGGGAAGCCACCUGGCGACAGGGAGCGAAUCCCCAAACCACGUCUCAGUUCGGAUCGGAGUCUGUAACCCGACUCCGUGAAGCUGGAUUCGCUAGUAAUCGCGCAUCAGCCAUGGCGCGGUGAAUACGUUCCCGGGCCUUGUACACACCGCCCGUCAAGCCAUGGGAGCCGGGGGUACCUGAAGUCCGUAACCGCGAGGAUCGGCCUAGGGUAAAACUGGUGACUGGGGCUAAGUC